This 1554-nucleotide ribosomal RNA is filed under the name Gastraspis sp. ZJUH_2016016. RNAcentral describes it as "16S ribosomal RNA". The record is from RNAcentral. Lineage: Eukaryota; Metazoa; Arthropoda; Insecta; Hymenoptera; Figitidae.
GAAAGAAUUAGAAUAUAAUAAUAAAAUAGAUUUAAAAUUUAUUUUUUAAAUUAAUAAAAUAAUAAUAAGUGAUAUAAUUUUUAGUAUAUUUUAAGAAAAAAUUUAUUUAAAUUAUAAAUUAAAUUAUUGUAAGAGAAUUUAAUUUUUUAUAUUUAAAGAUAUAUUAUUUUUAUAUACCUUUUGUAUUAGGGUUUAUUAAAAAAUUUUAUUUAUUAAUAAAUUUUUCGAAUUUAAUUGAGUUAAGAUUAAAUAAUAGUUAGAGUUACAAAUUUAUUAUUAAUUUAAUUUUAGUAAUGAAAUGUUAUUCGUAAUUAAAAAUAUCUAAUUUUUUAAUAAUUGAAUUUAAUUCAAAAAUUUUGAUUUUAUUAAAUUAUUUAUAUAAAUAUAAUUAAGUUAAACAAAAUUUUAAAUCUUUAGGGGAUAAACUUUGAAGUUAAUAAUUAAAAAUUAUUUUUUAAUUUUUUUAUAUAGAAGUAUAAUUUAAAAUUUUAUUUUUUAAAAAGAAUGUUAUAAUUUAUUUAAAUUUUUUAUUUAUUAAUAAUUUAAAUUGAGUUUUAAAUAGUUAUUAUUAAAAUAUAAAUAAUAAUAAUAAUUAUAUUUAGGAAUAAUGAUUAAAUUAGUAAAUUUAAGUUUAAUUAGUAUUUUUUAAUAUAUAAUAAUUUUAAAUAAUGAAUUUAGCAAAAUAUUAUAUUUACCUGUUUAAUAAAAACAUGUCUUUAAAUAUAAAUUAAUUUAAAGUCAAAUCUGCUCAAUGAAAAAAUUUAAUAGCUGCAAUAUUAUGAUUGUAGGAAGGUAGCAUAAUAAAUUGUCUUUUAAUUGAAGAAUGGAAUGAAAGAUUUAAUAAAAUAUAAACUUUAUUAUUUUAAAAUAAAUUUAAUUUUAUUUUUAAGUAAAAAAUCUUAAAUAAUUUUAUUAGACGAGAAGACCCUAUAAAAUUUUAUAAAUAUAUUUUAUAAAUAAAUUAAUUUAUAAAUAUCAUAUUUAUUUUUUUGGGGGGUAUAAUUAAAUUUAAUAAAUUUUUUUAUAAUAAAUUAUAUAUUUAAAUAGAAGUUUAUAAAAGAUUGAUUAUUUUAUAUUAUUAGAUUAAAUUACUUUAGGGAUAACAGCAUAAUUUUUUUAGAGAGUUCUUAUUGAUAAAAAAGUUUAUGACCUCGAUGUUGAAUUAAAAUAUAUAUUAAGUGAAGAUUCUUUAUUAAUUUAGUCUGUUCGACUAUUAAAAUUUUACAUGAUUUGAGUUAAAAUCGGUGUGAGCCAGAUUGGUUUUUAUCUAUAAAUUAAAUUUUAAAUAUUUGUACGAAAGGACUUUAUUUUAAAAAAUGGGUUAAAAUUUAAUUUUUAAAUGAAUAAUAAUAAUAUUAUAUUAUAAUUUUAGGAUAUAAAGAAUUAAAAUUUUAUUUAUAUAGUUUAAAAACAUUAUAAUUUUAUUAUAAAAAUAAUUAAAAUAAUUUAAAAAUAGGGGGAAAGUUAAUAAAAUUUUUAUAAAAAAGUAAUUUUUUAAUAUAUUUAAAAUUAUAUAUUUUAAAUAUUUUUUAAGGUGAAAUGAAAGUGUUUUUA